GUACUGCUGACAAAUCCCAAACAGGAAGAAACGGCUGUCCAGUAC
Molecule: non-coding RNA, 45 nt
Filed under: Echinostoma caproni
Lineage: Eukaryota; Metazoa; Platyhelminthes; Trematoda; Plagiorchiida; Echinostomatidae
Source: RNAcentral